UUCACUCUCAGGUCACGAGAAUGUUGUCCUUAAACAAUUUCCACCCAUCACCUGUUCUAUGUUCAGUAUGCUUCAUCUAUCCUCUCUCCAUGGAGACCUCAAAGACCAGAGCUCUGAAGGGACACAGGUGCCCUUGUAUUUGGAGCAUAGACACUCAGGAUUGAGAAUUCACUAUCAUCUGUCAUGGUCAAGUAGGCUUCAUCCCAGGGAUGCAGGGAUGGUUCAAUAUAUGGAUAUUCAUCAACAUAAUCUACUAUAUAAACAAACUCAAACUCAAAGGAAAAUAGACCAUAAUCAUCUCAUUAGAUGCUGAGCAAGCAUUUGACAAAAUUCAACACCCCUUCAUGCUAAACAUCUUGGAAAGAUCAGGAACUCAAAGCCCAUACCAGAGCAAUCAGACAAUGAAAGGAGGUCAAAGGGAUACAAAUUGGAAAGGAAGAAGUCAAAAUAUCACUAUUUGCAGAUGAUAUGGGAGUAUACCUACAUGACCCCAAAAGUUCCACCAGAGAACUACUAACACUGACGAAAAACUUCAGCAAAGAGCAAAAUGGCUGUGUAUAAAAUUAACUCAAACAAAUCAGUAGCCUUCAUCUAUUCAAAGGAUAAACAGGCUGAGAAAGAAAUUAGGGAAAGGUUACCCUUCACAGUAGUCACAAAUAAUAUAAAAUACUUAGGUGUGAUGCUAACCAAGC
RNAcentral lists this long non-coding RNA (692 nucleotides) under Rattus norvegicus (Norway rat). RNAcentral's name for it is "long non-coding RNA NONRATT027403". Lineage: Eukaryota; Metazoa; Chordata; Mammalia; Rodentia; Muridae. The record is from RNAcentral.